GAGUGGUGUUUGGUUUGAUACGGGUGGUUGGCUCCCUGCUUGAGCAGGCACGACCACACGUACAUUCCUUUUCAGUUGUGCGGCAAGGCUUGUAUCGUCUUGAUCGUAUAUGUGGGUUUCUUGUGUUGCAUACCUCAUCAAUGGCAUCGUUUUGAUCAAAAACAUACCUUUUUCGUCAGGCGUUGCACCCGCAAGGUCGGAUGAACCAUGCAGCAUCCUCUUUGAUCCAUAUAGUCGAUGAGCGUUCAUUGAUUGUUUGGCCCGUUGAGGGUGCCUUGGUCUCUCGGAUAUGGAAGCGAAAGUGGGCAUGGGUUCGUAUGAUCCUUUUAUUGCCCUCGUUGAGCGUUCUCGCUUCUCUUACACGACCGCCUUCACGUGUGGCAUGUCCCAUCGUGUUUGGCUACGUCGAAGAGGAAUGCUACCUGGUUGAUCCUGCCAGUAGUCAUAU
RNAcentral lists this unclassified non-coding RNA (448 nucleotides) under Laestadia muscicola. RNAcentral describes it as "partial external transcribed spacer". The record is from RNAcentral. Lineage: Eukaryota; Viridiplantae; Streptophyta; Magnoliopsida; Asterales; Asteraceae.